ACCUUAACUGGCCGCCGGGGGGCUUACGCCCCCGGGCCCGCGCCCGCCGAAGACACCCUCGAACUCUGUCUGAAGAUUGUAGUCUGAGUGAAAAUAUAAAUUAUUUAAAACUUUCAACAACGGAUCUCUUGGUUCCGGCAUCGAUGAAGAACGCAGCGAAAUGCGAUACGUAAUGUGAAUUGCAAAUUCAGUGAAUCAUCGAGUCUUUGAACGCACAUUGCGCCCCCUGGUAUUCCGGGGGGCAUGCCUGUCCGAGCGUCAUUGCUGCCCUCAAGCACGGCUUGUGUGUUGGGCCCCGUCCUCCGAUCCCGGGGGACGGGCCCGAAAGGCAGCGGCGGCACCGCGUCCGGUCCUCGAGCGUAUGGGGCUUUGUCACCCGCUCUGUAGGCCCGGCCGGCGCUUGCCGAUCAACCCAAAUUUUUAUCCAGGUUGACCUCGGAUCAGGUAGGGAUACCCGCUGAACUUAAGCAUAUCAAUA
RNAcentral lists this ribosomal RNA (478 nucleotides) under Penicillium chrysogenum. RNAcentral's name for it is "eukaryotic LSU rRNA". The stretch from base 109 to 261 matches the Rfam family "5.8S ribosomal RNA". The record is from RNAcentral. Lineage: Eukaryota; Fungi; Ascomycota; Eurotiomycetes; Eurotiales; Aspergillaceae.